RNAcentral lists this ribosomal RNA (251 nucleotides) under uncultured bacterium. Its description in RNAcentral is "partial 16S ribosomal RNA". It matches the Rfam family "Bacterial small subunit ribosomal RNA", at positions 525 to 775 of the family's 1533-position model. The record is from RNAcentral.
ACGGAGGGUGCAAGCGUUAAUCGGAAUUACUGGGCGUAAAGCGCACGCAGGCGGUCUGCCAAGUCGGAUGUGAAAUCCCCGGGCUCAACCUGGGAACUGCAUUCGAAACUGGCAGGCUAGAGUCUUGUAGAGGGGGGUAGAAUUCCAGGUGUAGCGGUGAAAUGCGUAGAGAUCUGGAGGAAUACCGGUGGCGAAGGCGGCCCCCUGGACAAAGACUGACGCUCAGGUGCGAAAGCGUGGGGAGCAAACAG